AACUGCAGUGACCAGAAUUGGCCACACGGUGGCAGCAGAGACUAUGGAAUAAAAUGUAGUGUAAUGACGAGAAUGGGCCACACGGUGGCAGCAGAGACUAUGGAAUAAAAUGUAGUGUAAUGACGAGAAUGGGCCACACGGUGGCAGCAGAGACCAUAGAGUUCUCGUGGGCAAAGGCCAGCGGGCAGCAGAUCUGCUCUGUGCCUCUCGUGCACAUUCAGUGGCUCUCGUGCACAUUCAGUGGCUCUCGUGCACAUUCAGUGGCUCUCGUGCACAUUCAGUGGCUCUCGUGCACAUUCAGUGGCUCUCUAUUUUAUUUUGUGUAUAUUUAGCGUACGUGGCGUGUGCGUUCAGAGUACAUCGCGUACAUUCAGUGUACUUCUAGAGUAUAUUGCGCACAUUUAGUGUACAUGUAGCACGUAUCGCAUACUUUUAGUGUGGUUUUAGCAUAUAUUGUGCAUAUUUAAUGUAUUUCGCGUACAUUUGGUGCACGUCACGUAUAUAUAGUUCACAUUUUGCAUAUGUAGCGUUCAUGUAGUGUGCCUUUAGUGGAUAUCACACGUGUCGCGCAUCUCUAGGGCAUUUAGUGGAUAUUGUACGUAUUUUGUGCAUAUUUAGAGUAUGUACAUUUAGUGGAUGUUUAGUGGAUAUUGUGGAUGUUUAGACGAAAUUUAGUGGAUAUCAUGUGCAUUCUGUGGAUACUGAGUGGAUAUCUUGUAUAUUCAGUGGAUAUUAACUGUGUAGCGUGGAUAUUUAGGGGAUAUUCAGUGUGUAUCAUGGGUAGGUAGUGUGUACAUGGUGUGUAUGUAGUGUGUAGUUAGUGUAUCAUGUCUAUUCAGUGUUCAUGGUGUAUAGUGAGUGCACAUCAUCUAUAUUGAGUGCACAGGGUGUAUAUGGAGUGUUUCCUUCUUUUAUAUUGUGUAUACUGAGAGUAUUCCGUGUAUUUUUUUGUGUAUAUGUAGUGGAUAUCGUGUAGAUUUAUUAUAUUUAGAGUACAGCUCUGGACCCACACCUCCAGCCCCACACCUCCAAAGUCUUCCAGCCCCACAACAAGGUCCUCCUGCCCCACACAUCCAGCACCAUAGAUCUCAAUCAACCCACUCCUGGGCCUACACAUUCCUGGACCCACACA
This 1132-nucleotide long non-coding RNA is filed under the name Numida meleagris (helmeted guineafowl). Its description in RNAcentral is "lncRNA (ENSNMEG00000002716.1)". Lineage: Eukaryota; Metazoa; Chordata; Aves; Galliformes; Numididae. The record is from RNAcentral.